GGUCUUUUUUUUUUUCCUCUUGGAGCACUGAGUUUCAAAGUUCCUUGGUGAGAACGGACUCCUUUCAACUUUGCAGGGGAUUUAAUGACUACACCUGAGGACCGUUCCUGUGUUUACCUUUCUCCCACAUUGCAAGCCAUGAUUCUUCCUCUUCCCACUUUGGAGCCUCUCUAUGCAUUCUCCUUGUGUUAACCCAAAAGGACACAAAGGUCCCUCAAGACAGAGCUCCCAUAUUGUCAAGUGUAUGGACUCAGCUAAGGUGAAUUGUUCCGCAGCUCAACCCCUGAGCUCCAGCCUAACGGGUUUUGUGUUUUCGACUGCCCCACUUUCACGUGUGCAUCUCCCAAUAGACUUCCUUCAGUGAUUUCUCUCAUGCAGCCCCUCGAGGCUCUUGUGCUGGUGACAGUGCAGGCUGGCUAUACCAUGUUCUGAGCUGGCCCCCAUCCCUGCAGAUUCAGGAAAUUUAUUAAAGUAAUUCAAAAAACUUAAACUAGAAUCUGCCAAAGCUGGGCUGUCUCUAAGCAACUUCGUCGUUCUAAAGCUCACAUCUUCUGACAAAAGCCACCUUCAGCAUGCCUGAGAAUCAUUUGAGGGUAAUGCCAGCUAGGUUUGAACUUUAAAAUUUUUACACAUCUGUCAAGGGCCUAUAUUUGAUAAACAAUCUUAAAUAAUAAUGUGCUUAUUGGUGACAUGAGAACACUGGGUCCUGGCCUAAGGCUUAAUGGUCCUGCAAGUGUCAGCUUUAGAUUGUAAGGUAAAAGUAGUGUAGAUUCCUGGCUCCUGUAAGGAAGUGCACAGUUAUUCCCUCAUCCUUGGCAAAGCGUAGGUUUGGCUCUACUCUAUCUGCACCACCACCACCACCGCCUCCCCUGUCGCUCUGUCAGCCUGCAGGCACUCACAAAACACCCAGCUGAGCUUGACCAAUGGCUAUGCAGCACAGCCACUCUAAAUGGCCCGACCUACAAGUAGUUUUCAACUUCGGGGUGACAAUUCAUGGCCGAAUAAAAGAUAGUCUUUUUGAGGUUGAGCCCACAGGACAUACUUAAAGUUCAGCUCUUGAGAAGGAACACCUAAGGAUGGAAAAGAAAAAUAACCCACUGCUAAGCCUAUUUACCCAAAGCAAUGCCUCACUAUGAAUGAGGGCAAAGGUUAAAACAAUGCAAUCCACUCCGUUGGAUCUCUUAGCCCUCUCUCUUCUACCCCAAGACCUGUGGUGAUUGUACUAGCGUUUCGUGAUAGCCAAAGCCCCAGAGCACAAGUUGCUUUCAGUAUAAAUGCUGGAAAGUAUCUCUUAUUACUUGAGGGACUAUAAAGGAUUUAGGCUUCCACAUGUAAAAUGAUCGUGGCCUCUUUUCGAGGCUUUAUACGCUGACCUUCUGGGGUAUACCUUUCACCGGUCAGUUGGCCCACCGAAGUAAUUAAAUUAAAGAGAGCGUCGGAGCCCAUGCUCUCAGCUGAGUUUUGGCGGAGUUUUAUGAAGAGGGCUUGAGUGACGAAGAUAAAGUUUUCUGUGCCAGAUUUCAUAUGUUGUCCUUGUCUCACCACUGCACUCCAGCCCUGAUGCUAGCCUCUGAAGGGACAAUGUUUCUAGUACCCUGAUGCCAUUGUUCCUCCAGCUUCUGAUGACAGUCCUUUCUUCCUGGAACUCUGCAGUAGUCUCACAUUUGCUUUCUAGGUCAAGACAGACCCCCUAUUGUCUGUAAGGAGAUCUCAGGGCUGGCUUGCAGCAGCAGCUAGUGUUUCUGCUUUCCAUUUUACUUCUGCUCUGCUCUGCUCUGCUCUGCUCUGCUCUGCUCUGCUCUGCUCUGCUCUGCUCUGCUCUGCUCUGCCCUGUGUGGAAACCAUGACAGCCUCUUCCAUACACCUCUGCUUCUAAAGCUUCGUAAGCUCUCUAAUGCCUGUGCGGCUGUACCUAUGGAUUAAAUGGCAGGCAAGACGUCUCAAUGGUAUUUUAUUCGUUCUAUUCCAGGUAAACACAUUUAACCAGAUUGCACUGCUAUUGAAGUUAAACAGAAAAUCCCCCCAGAUAGAAAGACUGCGGCUUGGUGCAGUAGUUGGUUCUGACAGCCUCGUGUAUGCAGUCACUGUUGUCAGUAUUACACUUGCCACACUUGCAGCUUAUGGCGACAGGGAAGGAGAAAUAAGGAGUAACAUGGUGCGGGCAUCCUGGUAUUUCCACCGUUCUGUAGAUGAAGUCUCUGUAUGUACAGACAUCCUGAGAGAGUGCAUAUUUGGGAAGAAACAGUUUGCCAUUGAUAUCCUGUGGAAAGAAAAGAGAUCUUAACAUGAUAAACUCCACACAACUUUAGAUAGUGUAAUAGAAAGACCACAACUUACUGAUAUCCCUUUGUAUCAGUGAUGAUCAAUAAAGGACUCCUGAGCUCUGUUACCCACACAUCUACAAUUAACCCAUCAGAUACAAAAAACAAAACAAAACAAAAAAAAAAAAACAAAAGCCACUUUGUUCUCAUCUGCCUUUGAUGAGGACAAACUCUUCAGAGUAGACUGUUACAAAUGCACCUGUACUUUCCUUUCUGAGUAGAGUCACACCAUUAUAAUUCUGAAAACAGUGUUUGGCUUCCCAAAGAGGACAUUAUGAUUUAUCCCCACUUCCUUUCUAAAUAUUAACAGACAACUUUAGGCCUAUAUAAUUUACAGCUAAAAGAAAUGCAUUGAACAACAUACCCGUGUCAUACAAUACCCAGCACAGAUGGUGGUGUUGAUGGUCAGGCAGUAGGCACACUCUCUCCUAUCCACGUACAUUGUAUACUCAGUGGGAAUACAAAAGGAUGCUGCUUGCCCACAAGCAAGAGCAAAAAGCACGGAGAGGAGGACGGCAGCACUCAUGCUGAAUCAGAGAGAAACAUCAAAGAGCUCAGUACAGUGUCCUCUCCACGCUCAGAGGCAUGUCUGUGCAUAUGUAAACACACAGCCAAUAACAAGAACAGGUAAAAUAUACUGACUGGUUACUUAUCCCUGGGCCCUGCGUAAGGUGCUUUUGCAUAUCCAGUCCUCUCAAACCUCCUCAUAUACGAUCAGAUGCAGCUACGACCGUGUACACCCAUAAUACAGGAGCUCACAUCUUAGAAGUCUGCCUACACAUGCCAUUGGGCUCCCCUGGGAAGUGACAGGCGAAUCUGCAACAUCACUCAGAAAACUGACAGCUUUCUGCUAACUAAGUGUGAAAUAAUUCAUCCAACAGAGCUAUAAUAAAAGGACUUGUCUUUAUAAGAAGUAAAUUAAUUAGUAUUCUUUAGGAAGGACUUUCCCAGAAAUCAAAGUUCCUAAAAAUUUUGGUUCAAUCAAUAACUCAGUUGGUUCAUAUAAUUAAAGAGGGAAAGAAACCAAAAAAAUCAUAAGCAAACUUUGCUACCACCCAGCAAAUAUGAUUUUCUCUAUAACUCUACCUGUUGAUUGUCAAGGAGGCUGAAAACUUAAGUUAAAAUUGUGACUGGUGUGAACUAAUAACACGAGCUACACGGUCUUUUCUGAAUCCUUAGGAUAUUCUGUUAGAGUUUUUAAAUUUUCACAUUGAAACAAAAGAUCAUUUUAUACAGAAGUUGUAUGGCAUUCAUUAUUUAAAAACAUAGAGAGAGCUGGGAAAAUUAGUGUGACACAUUUAGAGUAAUCCAGGCAAGAAUUCAGCUCCUUCGUGGGUUGUUCGAUUCAUUAGCAGCGGGCUGUAUGGGAGGCAGCAGAGGGCCCGCUGAGCAGUCCCGGCAGCUCAGAGAGCCUGUCUGAUACAGAAGCUGUUCCGUAUCAGUUAAGCAUUGUAAUGAUCUGGGGAUGUUAUGACUUAUUUUGGUGAUAGAGGGUAAUCAAAUUUCAGACUUUUAGAUGUAGGCUGAUCACCAUUAAGAUGAAGGAGACUUUUGACUCCCUUUUACUAAUAUUGUUCAACUAGCUAGGUAUGUUUGGAUUGUUUUUCUUCUCAACUAUCAUUGUUAGUAAAUAUAUAAAUGUAUAACAUAUAUAUAUAUAUAUAUAUAUAUCCACCACUGAAGCAAUAUUGAUAUCUAUAAGCAUAUGGCUGUUUGUUUAUUUUAUUAAAUGAUCACUAUUCGCUGGCUGGCAAGAAGGCUCAGAAGUAAAAGCACUUGCAGCUCUGCCUGAUAGCCUGAGUUCAAUUCCUGGACAUACGUGACAGACGGAGAGAACAGACUCCUCCCUGGAAGUCGUCCUCUGACCUCUUCAUGCAUGCUACAGUGCUCUCCCCAAAUAAAUGGGGGAAAAAAGCAUUUUAUUUAAUUAUCAAAGAAGUAUCAAGGUUCAAUCUGCCGGUUGUGUCAGCAACAGUUUUAAGCUGCGUGCUUUAAAUUCUCUACUUACUGAAGCCUUGUGCAGUCUGUCUCAGGUAACCAGAAUUUUGUUUCCAAUAAAUAUAUAAACAAAAAUU
RNAcentral lists this long non-coding RNA (4396 nucleotides) under Mus musculus (house mouse). RNAcentral's name for it is "long non-coding RNA chr3:102775464-102779860". The record is from RNAcentral. Lineage: Eukaryota; Metazoa; Chordata; Mammalia; Rodentia; Muridae.